ACAUACCUAGUGGCUGCCUUUCAUAUACAGUGCAUCCUUAACAUAUUUGGUCUUGAGGACAUAACGUCUAGAAAAUGUAGUCCUCAACUUUGCCUAAUUGGCAAGAUAAAACACUAAAAUCCGGAUAAUAGCACUGAGUCCCCUAGAAAAAGCUGCAUGGCAGUAUGGACGAUUCAGAGUCUGACCUGUGAGCCCAGCCCUCCAUGUAGCAGAUAUAAAUUGUUUCAUUAACUCUCAUUUGUUUGAACUAGUUCCUAUGGGGAGGCCCCUGAGCUGGAGUUUGGAAUGGGUCCCAGUCUAUCAAACAUUGACUUUUUGCUUCAUGUGUUAGGAGAGCCCCUGGCAAGUUCACAUUUAAUUACAGGCUGUUCUCUGGCCACAGUCCUGUGAGCUAGGAUUUCAUCCUCCCAAGCAAUCCUUCCUUCUUCCCCUGAGGGCAGAACUGCUCACCUGUCCUGGAGAUCGCUCUCCUACCAGGUGCAACACUGCUCCUCUCUGAGGUAGCACCAAGGGGUGGGGUAGUGCGGCAUACAGAGAAAGACAGGAAGAUAACAUUUUUAUUUUCUUCUUUGUCCAGAUUUUCCCUCACUUAGCUCUGGAAAGCAGCAUCAAGAGCUCUGAUUAUUACUGGAAAGGUCAUGAGAUGGGCUUCCAUCUGUCCAUCCUGUCCCUGCCCUGGUCCCUGAUCAUGCCCAUCUGAGGGAGUCCAGAGGCACCUAACAUUUAUGGUCACUUCAUACUCAGAGUCUGCACAUUCUUUUCCUACUGAUGAUGUGGAAGAGACUUGGAAAUGUUCCUUUCCAGGAGAUGACUGAUACACAGAAAGAUGGGGUCAGAUGAGGCCACAAGACCAGAGCCAAAAUCUUACCCAACUCCUUCAGGCAACAUUGUGACUGUAGGACAUGCUGCACUGAUACAGGAGUGGUCUUGGAACUACCCAGGUUCUACCAUUGAUAGGCAGUGUCAAGGUCCAGCCUUUCUGGGUCCCUCAGGCAGGUGAGGCGAGCCUGCAGGCAUGCUGUGGACCGCUGCAACUUGCUAGUCCCAGGGUCACAGCAAGUGGAAGUGCCGGGCACCACACAUGGCUUUGAGCAAAACCCACUUCCUCCAUCCCGGAGAGCAUGAAGCCGUUACACCACCAUCAAUCAAGGGGAACCCACGGGCUGCGCUCACACCGUUGAAGCAGGUGAGCAAAUGGAAGACUAGUCCAGGAGCAGGAGGAAGAAAAGAUAGCUCCCAGCUCAGCUUUUCUUCGCAUAUUCAGGAACUACUACACACGUUGUUAUGUUGGUCCUCGUUUUGUUUCCCUUUCAAAAACACCUGUGUGCUGUUUGCAGGGGUAUAGCUCUGGUUACACAGACCUCCUCACACAUUUCUUUUUAAUUUAAAGAAGGAUUAUCUCAAAACUUUAUUAGGAUGUAUUUUAAAUGAAAAUAUCUUGUUAUCUAGCGUGCAAUUGAUUCUUUCAGUUUGGUUUGUUUAGUUGAACUCCCUUUAAGAAAGAAUCUCUCCUACCCCUGGGCAAAAUGAAAACAACAACAACAGCCUGUGGAAAACACAUUCUGAUCCUAUCACAUCCUAGGAAACAGGGGGAGAACAAUAAAAGUUCAGUCAAUAUUUUAUAAAUUCAAGGUCAAUAUUCUGUGUCGCUGUCAACAGUGGAUAAGCCCCAAAGGACUUCUGUUAUUAUUAAAUUAGAACUGAUCCAUUUUUAUUUUAAGUAUAGUGGCUUUAACUAUUCAAUGGACAGAAAAAAAAACCCAGAAUAAAAAUUCAAGUGAGCAGAUGUAUUUCAUAAGAUAAUUGCAAACCACUUAAGGGUUUCAAUACAAAGCAAUAGAGACCAUCUCAUCUCUAUGGGUAUUCACCCAUCUUUAGCACUCACGGAUUUAUUGCUUCUAUUUUUGACCUAGAGCCUGAGGAGUAAUGUUGGGUCACUUUGACCACCCCAUCAGGUGCCUUAGAAAGCAAUGGAUAUACAUUAUGUAUGUUACCAUAUCUUGGAUGGUAGAUGGGUGCUAUUAUGAUUUGAGAUAGACUGUACUUUUCUACUCAGAGAUUUUUCCCCUUUGUAUAUAUUUAUAUAAUAUACAUGGCCUUUCAUUGCAAGCUUUUUGUUGGCAAUGGAAUCUAAUUGAAUUGGUUAAGAAAUAGAUCUAUAGAGUUUUUUUCCAUAGUAUUUUUCAUUGCUAAGAUAUUUUGUAAUAAGCCAAGUUUAGGGAUAACCCAAUUUAUGUGUUCUCUAAGUGAUCUAUUUCCAAGUUGGUUUUUUCUCUUUGCUUAGGGACUUUUAUUUUCCAUCAGGGUCCGUGGAAACCUCCGCCAGUCAUAAAACAGUAUUUAAAUUAUUUCCUUUAGGAUAUUUACAGAAUGAGUUGACACUUAAUUCAACAUUAGAGUAGUAUAAGUUUUCAUCUUAAAUUAUUUUGCAUUUUUUAUAUUCACAUUUUUGGAAUCUUCAUAACUAAGCAGAAUUUUUCCAACCCAUCUCUACUGGUCACCACCAGUGAGAGGCUGUAUGAUUUGUAAACUCUUGUUUUGGGGUACCUACGGUGACCAGUAUUUUGUUAUGCAUGUUAUGUUUGUUAUUAUCUUACACAGAUACAGCCAACUUUUUAAAUGUUCAGGUAAAAACAUUAAAUGUAUUUAUCUACCAAGUUCUAAAAAUUGCAAUACAACAUAUAUGCUAUCUAGAAUUAUUUGUUGGAAUAUUUACUGAAAAUAAAUAUAUUAGCAGAAGAAAAUUUCUACUAAUAAAAAACUCAGUUGAUUUA
This is a long non-coding RNA of Cavia porcellus (domestic guinea pig), 2774 nucleotides long. RefSeq lists it as uncharacterized. NCBI's taxonomy places the organism in Eukaryota, Metazoa, Chordata, Mammalia, Rodentia, Caviidae. The record is from RefSeq and is a predicted model, not a curated record. The transcript is spliced from 4 exons.